GAUGAAGAACGCAGCGAAAUGCGAUAAGUAAUGCGAAUUGCAGAAUUUCCGUGAGUCAUCGAAUCUUUGAACGCACAUUGCGCCCACUGGUAUUCCGGUGGGCAUGCCUGUCCGAGCGUCAUUACAACCCUCAAGCUCAGCUUGGUGUUGGGCCCCGCCGCCCCGGCGGGCCCUAAAGUCAGUGGCGGUGCCGUCCGGCUCCGAGCGUAGUAAUUCUUCUCGCUCUGGAGGUCCGGUCGUGUGCUCGCCAGCAACCCCCAAUUUUUUUCAGGUUGACCUCGGAUCAGGUAGGGAUACCCGCUGAACUUAAGCAUAUCAAUAAGCGGAGGA
Molecule: unclassified non-coding RNA, 330 nt
Filed under: soil metagenome
Description: partial contains 5.8S ribosomal RNA, internal transcribed spacer 2, and large subunit ribosomal RNA
Rfam family: 5.8S ribosomal RNA (bases 1-121)
Source: RNAcentral